RNAcentral lists this ribosomal RNA (750 nucleotides) under Streptomyces sp. B1O22. RNAcentral's name for it is "bacterial SSU rRNA". It matches the Rfam family "Bacterial small subunit ribosomal RNA", at positions 99 to 860 of the family's 1533-position model. Lineage: Bacteria; Bacillati; Actinomycetota; Actinomycetes; Kitasatosporales; Streptomycetaceae. The record is from RNAcentral.
CGAACGGGUGAGUAACACGUGGGCAAUCUGCCCUGCACUCUGGGACAAGCCCUGGAAACGGGGUCUAAUACCGGAUACUGACCACCUUGGGCAUCCGAGGUGUUCGAAAGCUCCGGCGGUGCAGGAUGAGCCCGCGGCCUAUCAGCUUGUUGGUGAGGUAAUGGCUCACCAAGGCGACGACGGGUAGCCGGCCUGAGAGGGCGACCGGCCACACUGGGACUGAGACACGGCCCAGACUCCUACGGGAGGCAGCAGUGGGGAAUAUUGCACAAUGGGCGAAAGCCUGAUGCAGCGACGCCGCGUGAGGGAUGACGGCCUUCGGGUUGUAAACCUCUUUCAGCAGGGAAGAAGCGAAAGUGACGGUACCUGCAGAAGAAGCGCCGGCUAACUACGUGCCAGCAGCCGCGGUAAUACGUAGGGCGCGAGCGUUGUCCGGAAUUAUUGGGCGUAAAGAGCUCGUAGGCGGCUUGUCACGUCGGUUGUGAAAGCCCGGGGCUUAACCCCGGGUCUGCAGUCGAUACGGGCAGGCUAGAGUUCGGUAGGGGAGAUCGGAAUUCCUGGUGUAGCGGUGAAAUGCGCAGAUAUCAGGAGGAACACCGGUGGCGAAGGCGGAUCUCUGGGCCGAUACUGACGCUGAGGAGCGAAAGCGUGGGGAGCGAACAGGAUUAGAUACCCUGGUAGUCCACGCCGUAAACGGUGGGCACUAGGUGUGGGCAACAUUCCACGUUGUCCGUGCCGCAGCUAACGCAU